UUGGCUGAUUCGCCGACGCCUCGGACGGAACCGUUCCUCGGGCGGGAUUUGUGUGCGCGCCGGCGGGUUCCCCUGCCGAAGCAAAGCGCGGAUUCUCGAUCGAAGGCACGGGACGGGAGGCGGCCGCCGGAGCGGCCCACGCUCGGUAAUGAUCCUUCCGCAGGUUCACCUACGGAAA
RNAcentral lists this unclassified non-coding RNA (178 nucleotides) under uncultured fungus. Its description in RNAcentral is "sequence contains ITS1". The record is from RNAcentral. Lineage: Eukaryota; Fungi.